RNAcentral lists this transfer RNA (58 nucleotides) under Felis catus (domestic cat). Lineage: Eukaryota; Metazoa; Chordata; Mammalia; Carnivora; Felidae. The record is from Rfam by way of RNAcentral.
ACCUGGGUGGCUCAGUUGGUUGAGCGUCUGACUUUGACUCAGGUCGUGAUCUCAGGUU